RNAcentral lists this ribosomal RNA (1355 nucleotides) under Pristimantis aff. subsigillatus JC-2021. Its description in RNAcentral is "partial 16S ribosomal RNA". It matches the Rfam family "Bacterial large subunit ribosomal RNA", at positions 385 to 2566 of the family's 2925-position model. The record is from RNAcentral. Lineage: Eukaryota; Metazoa; Chordata; Amphibia; Anura; Strabomantidae.
AGCCCUCCCCCUCCCCCCUUUUUUCAAAUACCAAUUAAAAUAUUCUAACAACCUAGUAAAGAAGAUUAAAAAAUUCCUAAGAGCUAUAACUUUGUACCGCAAGGGAAAGAUGAAAUAAAAUGAAAUAACUUCAAGCACAAAAAAGUAGAGAUUUAACCUCGUACCUUUUGCAUCAUGAUUUAGCUAGUCUAAUUAGGCAAAAAGACCUUAAGUCCAACUCCCCGAAACUAAGUGAGCUAUUUUAGGGCCGCUUAAUGAGCCCACCCAUCUAUGUUGCAAAAUAGUGGGAAGACCUUAAAAUAGAGGCGACAAACCUAACGAACUUAGUUAUAGCUGGUUUCUCGGGAAAAGAAUUUAGUCCAACCUAAAGUAAUACUAACCUACCUAAUUCCCCACUCUACUUUAGAGCAAUUCAAAUGAGGUUCAGCCCAUUUGAUACAGGAUCCAACCUUCACUAACGGGUAAUUACCCCUCGCAUCUAAAAGUAGGCCUAAAAGCAGCCAUCUUUUGAAAAGCGUCUAANNNUAACUACGCACACCUUAAUUCAUCGACCCACUCCGACCCCUUUAACGAUACUGAGAACCUCUAUAAUCUUAUAGAACAUUUUAUGCUAAAACUAGUAACAAGAGACUUUUCUCUCCUCAAUGCAAACAUAACCCAGCAAGAACCCAUCACCGGCAAUUAACAGGAUAAAAUACUUGUAACAACUCUUUUCCCGAAAACCUUACUACUAACACUGUUAACCUAACACCAGAGCAUUUCAAGAAAGAUUAAAAGAAGGGGAAGGAACUCGGCAAAUAUCAGCCUCGCCUGUUUACCAAAAACAUCGCCUCUCGACUUCAUGAGAGGUCCAGCCUGCCCAGUGACUCUGUUCAACGGCCGCGGUAUACUAACCGUGCGAAGGUAGCGUAAUCACUUGUCUUUUAAAUAAGGACUAGUAUGAAAGGCAUCACGAGGGCUAAACUGUCUCCCCCCUCUAAUCAGUGAACCUAAUCUCCCCGUGAAGAAGCGGGGAUUCCCCUAUAAGACGAGAAGACCCUAUGGAGCUUUAAACACGUAACACUGCCUUAACCUCUAAUUACCCCGGUAUACUCCCCCUCCCGGCACACUGAUUACAAGUUUUUGGUUGGGGUGACCGCGGAGAAAAACCCAUCCUCCACAAUGAAAGGGGCUCCCCCUAAACAGUGAGUCACAACUUUAAGUAUCAACAACUUGACAUCUAUUGACCCAACAAUUGAUCAACGAACCAAGUUACCCUAGGGAUAACAGCGCAAUCCACUUUGAGAGCUCCUAUCGACAAGUGGGCUUACGACCUCGAUGUUGGAUCGGGAUAACCUAGUGGUGCAACCGCUACU